This is a long non-coding RNA of Cavia porcellus (domestic guinea pig), 568 nucleotides long. RefSeq lists it as uncharacterized. The transcript is spliced from 3 exons. Lineage: Eukaryota; Metazoa; Chordata; Mammalia; Rodentia; Caviidae. The record is from RefSeq and is a predicted model, not a curated record.
CCCAGCUCUGCUCUUCACAGGGUGGCUGUCCUCCGGGCUAUUCCUGCACCUAGACCAGUCCCUGGGGAGUGACAGGACACCCAGACUGUUGGGAGGAAAGAUACUGUCGAGUCCCAGCUGGGCCCUGCGAUGCCCCAAUUCCACUCUGCCACUCUAUCUCAAAACUUCAGUUCUGUUCUGCACUCUAUCGAGCCAGGCCAUCAUCUCUAUGCUGAGGAGGGCAUAUGACCCCCUCCUCCCUGAGACUGGCACCUAAGUUUAUGAGCCAGUGCAGAAGUCUCUGAGAACCAUAUGGGUGGAAAAAGUUACCCGGUUCUAAAUCAGCCAGCUUUUGGGUGAUCUCAUCCCCUUCCCAAGAUAGUUGUGCUCCCCUCCUCCACCUACCAACUGACUGGGCUAAUGGGCCUGUGCACCCUUCGGCAGGAUGGGAUCCAGCCUGAGAUUGGAGUAUAAAGCUACUUUUGCUGGCUGCUGCCUUGAAGUGUUGUCCCUGUGCCAUGACACCCUGCCUUGGAGCCAGCUGAUUAUGGACUGAAACCUCCACAAACAGUGAGCUAAAUAAACCUUU